Molecule: ribosomal RNA, 558 nt
Filed under: Limosilactobacillus fermentum
Lineage: Bacteria; Bacillati; Bacillota; Bacilli; Lactobacillales; Lactobacillaceae
Description: bacterial SSU rRNA
Rfam family: Bacterial small subunit ribosomal RNA
Source: RNAcentral
AUACAUGCAAGUCGAACGCGUUGGCCCAAUUGAUUGAUGGUGCUUGCACCUGAUUGAUUUUGGUCGCCAACGAGUGGCGGACGGGUGAGUAACACGUAGGUAACCUGCCCAGAAGCGGGGGACAACAUUUGGAAACAGAUGCUAAUACCGCAUAACAGCGUUGUUCGCAUGAACAACGCUUAAAAGAUGGCUUCUCGCUAUCACUUCUGGAUGGACCUGCGGUGCAUUAGCUUGUUGGUGGGGUAACGGCCUACCAAGGCGAUGAUGCAUAGCCGAGUUGAGAGACUGAUCGGCCACAAUGGGACUGAGACACGGCCCAUACUCCUACGGGAGGCAGCAGUAGGGAAUCUUCCACAAUGGGCGCAAGCCUGAUGGAGCAACACCGCGUGAGUGAAGAAGGGUUUCGGCUCGUAAAGCUCUGUUGUUAAAGAAGAACACGUAUGAGAGUAACUGUUCAUACGUUGACGGUAUUUAACCAGAAAGUCACGGCUAACUACGUGCCAGCAGCCGCGGUAAUACGUAGGUGGCAAGCGUUAUCCGGAUUUAUUGGGCGUAAAG